Mytilus californianus (California mussel) is the source of this 532-nucleotide long non-coding RNA. RefSeq lists it as uncharacterized. NCBI's taxonomy places the organism in Eukaryota, Metazoa, Mollusca, Bivalvia, Mytilida, Mytilidae. The record is from RefSeq and is a predicted model, not a curated record. The transcript is spliced from 5 exons.
UCUACGGAUGAGUUAACAAUUGUAUUGUGUUUUAUAUUUAUACCAGAAGUGGAAAAAUUCUUCCGGGUCUAGCCUAGAUAAGUACAAUUAGGAAACCACGAUGAUUUUGUGAUAUGAGACUAUGGAGAAACUUCAGCUCUUGGUUCAUUUUCUUCUUAUAUCAUGGAAAUGUGAAGGGUUAACCAUAAAAAAUGUAACUCUUUACAACGAAGAAAAGUCAUGGGAGGAUGCUGCUAAUUUAUGUUUACAUAAAGGUGGUGUACUGGAAAGUAACGUCACGUUAUUGUCAGAACACUUUACAAACAAUGGAGACAGCAAAGACGUUUGGCUUGGCAAAAGCAAAUUAUUAACCCAGUGGACAUUUGUUCGAGGAUGCUUUUACAUUUAUGGAGACUUCAAACACUUUGUAAUUGAACCGUCUAAAACUGCAGAGCUUGAAUGCCAAAUGUUUUGUGGUGACUUCAAAUUUUAUAGUAUCAAAGAAACAGCUUGUUAUUGUAUUAAAGAAAUACUGUCAUUCCACAGAACCAAU